This 274-nucleotide ribosomal RNA is filed under the name uncultured bacterium. RNAcentral's name for it is "partial 16S ribosomal RNA". It matches the Rfam family "Bacterial small subunit ribosomal RNA", at positions 523 to 796 of the family's 1533-position model. The record is from RNAcentral.
AUACAGGGGGUGCGAGCGUUAAUCGGAAUUACUGGGCGUAAAGAGUACGUAGGCGGUUGCUUAAGUCAGAUGUGAAAGCCCCGGGCUCAACCUGGGAACUGCAUUUGAAACUGAGUGACUAGAGUUUAAGAGAGGGGAGUAGAAUUCCGGGUGUAGCGGUGAAAUGCGUAGAGAUCCGGAGGAAUACCAGUGGCGAAGGCGGCUCCCUGGCUUAAAACUGACGCUGAGGUACGAAAGCGUGGGUAGCAAACAGGAUUAGAUACCCUAGUAGUCC